CAUAGCGACUAUCGUGGCAUAUCAAUAAGCGGAGGAAAAGAAACUAACAAGGAUUCCCCUUAGUAACGGCGAGUGAAGCGGGAAGAGCUCAAAUUUGAAAUCUUCAAGGUUUUACCUUGACGAAUUGUAGUUUAAAGAAGUGUUUUCUGUUGAAGUUUCGGUAAAAGUUCUUUGGAAUAGGACAUCAUAGAGGGUGAGAAUCCCGUAUUUGACCGUUACUUUCCAGCUGUGUGAUACACUUUCAAAGAGUCGGAUUGUUUGGGAAUGCAGUCCAAAAUGGGUGGUAAAUUUCAUCUAAAGCUAAAUAUUGGCGAGAGACCGAUAGCGAACAAGUACCGUGAGGGAAAGAUGAAAAGAACUUUGAAAAGAGAGUUAAACAGUACGUGAAAUUGUCAAAAGGGAAGCGUUUGACACCAGUGUUGUUUAGUUGAAAAUCAAUUCAAUAAUUUUUGAUUUUGAGUAGUAUUGACUUCAUCAGCUUGCUGCUUUCUUUUCAGGAAUUAUUGAAUGCACUUUUCAGUUAACAAGUCAACAUCAAUUUCUUUUGUUGUAAAAGGGUAAGAGGAAGGUGGCUUACGCUUCGGCGUAAGUGUUUAUAGCCUUUUACCUCUGCAAUCGGAGAGAUUGAGGACAGCAGCGUAGACUCCUUCGGGGUUAGAUACACUUGUGCUAAGCUAUAGCCUUGUAUAGACAACUUGUUGACUAUGCUCAGUCAUGUAGCUUACUCGCUUGUGCUAUUUUACCUACGCUUAGGAUGUUGAUAGUCACAGCGUGUAC
This 777-nucleotide ribosomal RNA is filed under the name uncultured Neocallimastigales. RNAcentral describes it as "partial large subunit ribosomal RNA". It matches the Rfam family "Eukaryotic large subunit ribosomal RNA", at positions 22 to 634 of the family's 3401-position model. Lineage: Eukaryota; Fungi; Neocallimastigomycota; Neocallimastigomycetes; Neocallimastigales. The record is from RNAcentral.